GUCGAACGAACUUAAUACAUUCUUUUAGAUUGUAAGCGGUUAGUGGCGGACUGGUGAGUAACGCGUGAGUAACCUGCCUAUUAGAGGGGAAUAACAGUGAGAAAUCAUUGCUAAUACCGCAUAUGCUCACAGUAUCGCAUGAUACAGUGAGGAAAGGAGCAAUCCACUAAUAGAUGGACUCGCGUCUGAUUAGCUAGUUGGUGAGGUAGAGGCUUACCAAGGCGACGAUCAGUAGCCGGACUGAGAGGUUGAACGGCCACAUUGGGACUGAGAUACGGCCCAGACUCCUACGGGAGGCAGCAGUCGGGAAUAUUGCGCAAUGGAGGAAACUCUGACGCAGUGACGCCGCGUAUAGGAAGAAGGUUUUCGGAUUGUAAACUAUUGUCGUUAGGGAAGAAAAAAGGCAGUACCUAAGGAGGAAGCCCCGGCUAACUAUGUGCCAGCAGCCGCGGUAAUACAUAGGGGGCAAGCGUUAUCCGGAAUUAUUGGGUGUAAAGGGUGCGUAGACGGGUGUCUAAGUUGGUUGUGAAAUCCCUCGGCUCAACUGAGGAACUGCAACCAAAACUGGAUAUCUUGAGUGUCGGAGAGGAAAGUGGAAUUCCUAGUGUAGCGGUGAAAUGCGUAGAUAUUAGGAGGAACACCAGUGGCGAAGGCGACUUUCUGGACGAUAACUGACGUUGAGGCACGAAAGUGUGGGGAGCAAACAGGAUUAGAUACCCUGGUAGUCCACACUGUAAACGAUGGAUACUAGGUGUAGGGUGUUUAAGCAC
RNAcentral lists this ribosomal RNA (770 nucleotides) under uncultured bacterium. Its description in RNAcentral is "bacterial SSU rRNA". It matches the Rfam family "Bacterial small subunit ribosomal RNA", at positions 61 to 839 of the family's 1533-position model. The record is from RNAcentral.